UACGGAGGGUGCGAGCGUUAAUCGGAAUUACUGGGCGUAAAGCGCGCGUAGGUGGUUUGGUAAGCGAGAUGUGAAAGCCCCGGGCUUAACCUGGGAACGGCAUUUCGAACUGUCAGGCUAGAGUGUGGUAGAGGGUAGUGGAAUUUCCUGUGUAGCGGUGAAAUGCGUAGAUAUAGGAAGGAACACCAGUGGCGAAGGCGGCUACCUGGACCAACACUGACACUGAGGUGCGAAAGCGUGGGGAGCAAACAGG
This 253-nucleotide ribosomal RNA is filed under the name uncultured microorganism. RNAcentral's name for it is "partial 16S ribosomal RNA". It matches the Rfam family "Bacterial small subunit ribosomal RNA", at positions 524 to 776 of the family's 1533-position model. The record is from RNAcentral.